CAUUUGUCGUUGAGGUGGGUGGAUUUCUUAAGGGAAUUAACUAAAGGAUCACCUCAAGCCCAUCCCAACCUGCUGCAUGGCAAAUUAGGGUGAGACUUGAAGUAUUUUGGGAGUUGUCCCUCAAAAUUUGAAAUGAUUGAGAGCGCAGUUGGUGGCUGUGACAUUUGGCCCUUCGGGUUUGGAUGUGCGGCAUCACCUAAUUACUGGUUGAUCAAGCACACGUUGUUUAAGACUUAUAUAAAUAGUUCACCUCCUGAUAGUUGAUGCGUUCGUCAGAGAGCCUUUUCCUGUCUUUUUAGAAUCCUGUCGUGAUGGAGCCGUCACCACGAUCAGUGAAGGAGGCAACCAGGAAGAAGGACGAAUACCUGAGGGGGAGGCCUUUGCCCAGAAGAGUGAAGGUCGCCAUGUCGGAACCUCCGAGUACAGGCCAGGCACUACUUUCUCUGAGGGCUCUUCCACUUCUAGGGGGUUGGCCUGCUAGGGCACCAUUGUCGAGGCCUUUGCUGAAGUGCAACUCCACUACAUCACGAAGUACAAGUUCUCCAAGGCCUUCAAGGGGAAGCUUCUCGAUGCUUUCGCCACUGGGUUCAUCUAGAGCUUUGAGAAUUGCAAAGCCUAUUUGAAGUAUAUGAUACUGCAGUUAGACCUGCACUGCCUUAGUCCUGA
RNAcentral lists this long non-coding RNA (666 nucleotides) under Elaeis guineensis (African oil palm). RNAcentral's name for it is "long non-coding RNA (EGUI_LNC068438)". The record is from RNAcentral. Lineage: Eukaryota; Viridiplantae; Streptophyta; Magnoliopsida; Arecales; Arecaceae.